UAGGGAAUCUUCGGCAAUGGACGAAAGUCUGACCGAGCAACGCUGCGUGAGUGAAGAAGGUUUUCGGAUCGUAAAACUCUGUUGUUAGAGAAGAACAAGGACGUUAGUAACUGAACGUCCCCUGACGGUAUCUAACCAGAAAGCCACGGCUAACUACGUGUCAGCAGCCGCGGUAAUACGUAGGUGGCAAGCGUUGUCCGGAUUUAUUGGGCGUAAAGCGAGCGCAGGCGGUUUCUUAAGUCUGAUGUGAAAGCCCCCGGCUCAACCGGGGAGGGUCAUUGGAAACUGUGAGACUUGAGUGCAGAAGAGGAGAGUGGAAUUCCAUGUGUAGCGGUGAAAUGCGUAGAUAUAUGGAGGAACACCAGUGGCGAAGGCGGCUCUCUGGUCUGUAACUGACGCUGAGGCUCGAGAGCGUGGGGAGCAAACAGG
Molecule: ribosomal RNA, 429 nt
Filed under: Gemmatimonadota bacterium
Lineage: Bacteria; Pseudomonadati; Gemmatimonadota
Description: Gemmatimonadetes bacterium partial 16S ribosomal RNA
Rfam family: Bacterial small subunit ribosomal RNA
Source: RNAcentral